RNAcentral lists this long non-coding RNA (850 nucleotides) under Homo sapiens (human). Its description in RNAcentral is "HSALNT0249392". The record is from RNAcentral. Lineage: Eukaryota; Metazoa; Chordata; Mammalia; Primates; Hominidae.
UCAGUCAUCUGCUGUUGAUUUUCUCCUCAGGUUCUGUCAAGCUAGUUCGUUUUCUCGGGAUACAGGUUUCCUUUCUUCCCUUUAAAGGAAGUGAAUGCUUGGUGUUUGUCUAGUAUAUUAUGACUACAACAUAGGACGUGCCUCUUACCAGUUGGGGUGCAACAGAAAAUGUCUCCUUCUCUGUCUUCCUGCAAAGCGAGAGGAAGUUUUGGCAUUUAUAGUGUUUAAUAUAUUUCCUGUAAAUGUGUAGGAAAUGUCUGUUUGAAGUUCUGAAGUAAACUACCUUGAUGUUGACAAAGAUGAGACAAACUACCUGAUGAAAGAAAUCAUAUUCAAGAAAGAAUCUUUAGAGAGGAAGGCAGCCUAUUUAUUUACAUGAAGAUCAAAGAACCUUUGCAUGAAUUGAGACUACAUUUUUUCCGAGUGAUUUGCAAAAGAUAAUCCUCAUGGCUGAAUGAGAAAAGUGCCUAGAUGCCAGUGUGAAGAAGAGACAGAGCAGAGACACGAACAACAUGUAAAUUCUCCUUGCUGCCACCAUGUGACGAAGGACACGUUUGCUUCCCCUUCCACCAUGAUUGCAAGUUUUCUGAGGCCUCCCCAGCCAUGCUGAACUGUGAGUCACUUAAACCUCUUUCCUUUAUAAAUUACCCAGUCUCGGAUGUGUCUUCAUUAGCAGCUUGAGAACAGAUUGAUACAAAAAAAAAGAACUAGAAACUGAUGUUAUUAAUAUGCAAUGUAAUGGAGUCUUAAAACCAAGUAGGCCAGCAUUUAUAGUACAUUUUUACACGUAUGUCUAGAAUAGUUACCUUAAACACACAUGCACACAGAUGGAUAACAUCUGUAUUUGCAA